CGGAGAGGGAGCAUGAGAAACGGCUACCACAUCUAAGGAAGGCAGCAGGCGCGUAAAUUACCCAAUCCUGACUCAGGGAGGUAGUGACAAGAAAUAGCAAACCGGGAACCUCAUGGUUUCACGGUAUUGCAAUGAGAACAAUUUAAAACCCUUAGCGAGAAUCAAGUGGAGGACAAGUCUGGUGCCAGCACCCGCGGUAAUUCCAGCUCCACUAGCGUAUAUUAAAGUUGUUGCAGUUAAAAAGCUCGUAGUUGAACCUCUGUCUGGGGCUAGUUUUGGCUUUGGUCAGGCUAGUUCUAGGCAUCCGCCUACAAGACUUAGAGGGCAUUCAGUUGUUCACUAGGAGGAGUAGGCAUUUUACUUUGAAAAAAUUAGAGUGUUUAAGGCAGGCAAUCGCCCGCAUAUAUUAGCAUGGAAUAAUAGAAUAGGACACUUUUCCAUUUCGUUGGUUAUUGGAAUCGUGUAAUGAUUAAUAGGGACAGUUGUGCCAUUUGUAUUUAAUUGUCAGAGGUGAAAUUCUUGGAUUUAUUAAAGACAAACUAACGCGAAAGCAUUUGCCAAGGAUGUUUUCAUUAAUCAAGAACGAAAGUUAGGGGAUCAAAGACGAUCAGAUACCGUCCUAGUCUUAACUAUAAACUAUUCCGACUCAAUGUUUGACUGGCUUAUAUAACCAGUUGAGCGUUGUAUGAGAAAUCAAAGUCUUUAGGUUCUGGGGGGAGUAUGGUUGCAAAGCUGAAACUUAAAGGAAUUGACGGAAGAGCACAACCAGGAGUGGAUUCUGCGGCUUAAUUUGACUCAACACGGGGAAACUUACCAGGUUAAAACAAUAGUGGGAUUGACAGUUUGAGAGCGCUUUCUUGAUUGGUUGGGUGGUGGUGCAUGGCCGUUCUUAGUUGGUGGAGUGAUUUGUCUGCUUAAUUGCGUUAACGAACGAGACCUUAACCUGCUUACUAGACUGGCGAUCAUCAAUCGUUAGCUCUUCUUAGAGGGACUUUGGUUGUUUUAACUCCAAGGAAGUUUGAGGCAAUAACAGGUCUGUGAUGCCCUUAGAUAUCCUGGGCCGCACGCGUCAUACAAUGACUAGUUCAGAAAGUUUUCUCCUGACCCGAAAGGGGAUGGGUAAUCUUGAUAAUACUAGUCGUGUUAGGGAUCGAUCUUUGCAAUUAUAGAUCUUGAACGAGGAAUUCCUAGUAAGUGCGGUUCAUCAGACCGUACUGAUUACGUCCCUGCUCUUUGUACACACCGCCCGUCGCUUCUACCGAGUGGGUGGUCCGGUGAGAUAAUUGAACUUCGCAGGUAACUGAGAGGAAAGAUUAUCAAACCUAUCCACCUCGAGGAAGAAGAAGUCGUAACAAGGUU
RNAcentral lists this ribosomal RNA (1359 nucleotides) under metagenome. RNAcentral's name for it is "SSU rRNA". It matches the Rfam family "Eukaryotic small subunit ribosomal RNA", at positions 384 to 1801 of the family's 1831-position model. The record is from RNAcentral.